RNAcentral lists this ribosomal RNA (472 nucleotides) under uncultured bacterium. RNAcentral describes it as "bacterial SSU rRNA". It matches the Rfam family "Bacterial small subunit ribosomal RNA", at positions 36 to 518 of the family's 1533-position model. The record is from RNAcentral.
CUGGCGGCGUGCUUAACACAUGCAAGUCGAACGAUGAUGGUGGUGCUUGCACUGCCUGAUUAGUGGCGAACGGGUGAGUAACACGUGAGUAACCUGCCCUUCACUUCGGGAUAACCUCGGGAAAUCGAGGCUAAUACCGUAUAUGAGCUUCUGCCGCAUGGUGGGGGUUGUAAAGAUUUAUCGGUGAGGGAUGGACUCGCGGCCUAUCAGUUUGUUGGUGAGGUAAUGGCUCACCCAAGGCGAUGACGGGUAGCCGGCCUGAGAGGGCGACCGGCCACACUGGGACUGAGACACGGCCCAGACUCCUACGGGAGGCAGCAGUGGGGAAUAUUGCACAAUGGGCGAAAGCCUGAUGCAGCGACGCCGCGUGGGGGAUGACGGCCUUCGGGUUGUAAACCCCUUUCAGUAGGGAAGAAGCGAGAGUGACGGUACCUGCAGAAGAAGCGCCGGCUAACUACGUGCCAGCCGCCGC